Molecule: RNA transcript, 2148 nt
Organism: Hyaena hyaena (striped hyena)
Lineage: Eukaryota; Metazoa; Chordata; Mammalia; Carnivora; Hyaenidae
Gene: WDR86
Gene name: WD repeat domain 86
Exons: 7
Source: RefSeq, a predicted model, not a curated record
GGUCUCUGAGGAGGAGCCAGGCCCGACCGCAUUGUUCCACACUCACCGCCCCGAGCGCGCGGCGCCGGCCGGGGAGGGCGCGCGGGGCGCGGGGCGCUCGGCUUCCCGGGCUCCCCCUGCCGCGGAACCCCUAAGAGGCUCGAGCCUGCCCGCGCGGCCCGAGACGCCUCCGCCCGGGGGGGUCCCCGGAGGGAGGGGCCUGCUCAGGUGGGGCGCGGGGAGGGGAGGCAGCGGGCGCCGACGGGGGCCCGGGAAGUGCCGGCGGGCCGCCCUCCCCACCCCCCCGCGGUGCAGCUCCCCCCGCCCCCCACCGCCGCUGGGUCCGCGGGCCCGGAAGCCGGGUGGGCGGCGCGGGAGCCGGAGCCCCCGCCUCCCUUCGUCCGCACCCCGAGCCCCGUGGGGCCAUGGCCGCGGGGCUCGGCCGCAGGGAGCCGGCGCGCGGAUGCCGGGGCGCCCCUCCGUAGCGGGGCGCCGCCUCCCGGGCUCCCGCGGGGCCGGCGGCAUGGGCGGCGGGGGAUCGGCCCUGAGGGUCUGCGCCGACCACCGCGGGGGCAUCAACUGGCUCAGCCUGAGCCCGGACGGGCAGCGCCUGCUGACGGGCAGCGAGGACGGCACGGCCCGGCUCUGGAGCACCGCGGACGGCCGGUGCUGCGCCCUCCUGCAAGGCCACGAGAGCUACGUGACCUUCUGCCAGCUGGAAGACGAGGCCGCCUUCACGUGCAGCGCGGACUGUACCAUCCGGAAGUGGGACGUGCAGACCGGGCAGUGCCUGCAGGUGUUUCGAGGGCACACGUCCAUCGUGAACAGAAUCCUGGUGGCCAAUGACCAGCUGUUCAGCAGCUCCUACGACCGGACGGCGCGAGCCUGGAGCGUGGCCGCAGGGAAGGUGUCCCAGGAGUUCAGGGGCCACCGCAACUGCGUGCUGACCCUCGCCUACUCGGCCCCCUGGGACCUGCCCGGGGCUCCCUGCGCCGAGGAGGCCGGGGGGCUGCUGGUGACGGGCAGCACGGACGGCACGGCCCGGGUGUGGCAGGCGGCCAGUGGCCGCUGCCAGCAGACGCUGCAGGGCCACACGGGCGCCGUGCUCUGCCUGGUGCUGGACGCGCCCGGCCACACGGCCUUCACCGGCAGCACCGACGCCACCAUCCGCGCCUGGGACAUCCUGAGCGGGGAGCAGCUGCGGGUGUUCAGGGAGCACCAGGGCUCUGUCAUCUGUCUGGAGCUCGUGAACCGGCACGUGUACUCGGGCAGCGCGGACAGGACGGUCAAGUGCUGGCUGGCAGACACGGGGGAGCGUGUGCGCACGUUUGCAGCCCACGGACACAGCGUGAGCGCCCUCAAAUACCACGCAGGCACCUUGUUCACGGGCAGCGGGGACGCCCGCGCGCGCGCCUUCGAUGCCGAGUCCGGAGCGCUGCAGAGGGUGUUCCGCGGUCACGCCUUCGUCAUCAACUGCAUCCAGCUUUCGCUCCUGCGUCGUCUCGGGUCCCAUCCCACGCUCCCCCGUCCUGUCCAUCUGUAACAGAGACUGAAGCACACAAGCUGUGAUAUCCGCAGAGAAACUGCCCCUGGGUGCAGACUGGAAAACAGGAGCGGCUGCGGUUUUGUUCUCCCGCCCGCCUCUCCGGGACAGAGCAGGGAGUGGAACGCGGCCGGCUUGGAUUUACGUCGUGGAAUAUACUUGAGGAAUUUGUGUUUCUCCAUCACAGUUUGGCUAGAUGUUGAGGAUGUAAAGACCAGAUAACCAGAAUGACACAAAAGAUUCCCACCCACCCAACCUGGACGGCUGUCCGAGCUUUGCGAAUGUGAUUGGUGAAGAAGCAGCAGUUCCACCAGCCCGUCGAUGGCGGUGAGGUGACCCGUCUGUCCACGGUCACAGGCGUUUCCAGAGACUUCCGGAGGGGCAGGAGAGGGGUAGGAGCACACGUGGCAUGUGAGUCGGCGCAUGGCUGCUGCCGGCUGCAUCCUGGUGCUGGACCAGCUUUUCCUCUCCUCCACGACUACCGGCGAAUGCGCGGCGCAGUGAGACGCCAACUACGCAUCUUCAGAAACAGUCCUGUGUCGCAGAUCUACCAACGAAACCCACCACCCUGGAGAAAAGAGACCCUAACAGUCUCUGACAGGCAUCUCAGCCAGCAGCGAGGUUAA